AUAAAUCCCCAAAAAUAGAUGUAGCAACUAAGGAUUCCAGUUUUAAGCCAGCGGGUACUGAGGUAGCUCUUACGUACAUGCUGAACAUUCAUAACAAUCAGUACAAUGAAGUUAACCUCUGCUGGGCCUGUAUUUAUCAAGCGUUUCAGAGUAGGACUGCUGAUCUGGGAUCAGUUCCUCCCUGUCCAUAAUAAUCAGAUUCGUUGUGAUCUAAAAGGAUAAAACUGAUCCUAGACCAGCACUCCUCCUACAGGCCCUGGAGAGUGAGAAAGGGAUAAACUGAUCCUAGACCAGCACUCCUCCUACAGGCCCUGGAGAGUGAGAGAGGGAUAAACUGAUCCUAGACCAGCACUCCUCCUACAGGCCCUGGAGAGUGAGAAAGGGAUAAACUGAUCCUAGACCAGCACUCCUACUACAGGCCCUGGAGAGUGAGAAAGGGAUGUAAACAAGCUAUCCAUUAUGGAGAGGAAUUCCAGUAUAAAAAGAAAGACAUCGAUCAAACCAAUGAGAAUGUGAU
RNAcentral lists this long non-coding RNA (517 nucleotides) under Salmo salar (Atlantic salmon). RNAcentral describes it as "lncRNA (ENSSSAG00000098942.1)". Lineage: Eukaryota; Metazoa; Chordata; Actinopteri; Salmoniformes; Salmonidae. The record is from RNAcentral.